CCUACGGUGUGCAGCAGUGGGGAAUAUUGCACAAUGGGGGAAACCCUGAUGCAGCAACGCCGCGUGAGUGAAGAAGUAUUUCGGUAUGUAAAGCUCUAUCAGCAGGGAAGAAGAUGACGGUACCUGAAUAAGAAGCACCGGCUAAGUACGUGCCAGCAGCCGCGGUAAUACGUAGGGGGCAAGAGUUAUCCGGAUUUACUGGGUGUAAAGGGAGCGCAGACGGCAGGGCAAGUCUGGAGUGAAAGCCCGGGGCGCAACCCCGGAACUGCUGUGGAAACUGUUCGGCUAGAGUACUGGAGGGGCAGGCGGAAUUCCUGGUGUAGCGGUGAAAUGCGUAGAUAUUAGGAGGAACACCAGUGGCGAAGGCGACCUGCUGGACAGUAACUGACGUUGAGGCUCGAAAGCGUGGGGAGCAAACAGGAUUAGAUACCCUGGUAGUC
Molecule: ribosomal RNA, 440 nt
Filed under: uncultured bacterium
Lineage: Bacteria
Description: partial 16S ribosomal RNA
Rfam family: Bacterial small subunit ribosomal RNA
Source: RNAcentral